This 207-nucleotide small nuclear RNA is filed under the name Ficedula albicollis (Collared flycatcher). RNAcentral's name for it is "7SK RNA". It matches the Rfam family "7SK RNA", at positions 1 to 177 of the family's 331-position model. From Rfam's summary of the family: 7SK was discovered as an abundant small nuclear RNA in the mid-70s but a possible function has only recently been suggested. Two independent studies have found that 7SK RNA binds the CDK9/cyclin T complex (known as elongation factor P-TEFb). P-TEFb activates transcription by phosphorylating the C-terminal domain of RNA polymerase II. The record is from Rfam by way of RNAcentral. Lineage: Eukaryota; Metazoa; Chordata; Aves; Passeriformes; Muscicapidae.
GGAUGUGAAGGCAGUCUAGCUGCAGCAUCUGUCCCCCCAUUGACUGCCAGUGCUGAUUCUGCUGUUCUGACUGGUUAGGCUGGCUGUCCCCUUCCUCCUUCAAUAGCUCCAUCUGUGUCCCUCCCAAAGCUGCACACUCGUUUGCAGAGGACAACCUCCCCAGCAGAUUUUUUUGGCUGGAAAGUGGCCCAGCAGAGAAGGACCUGG